This 517-nucleotide long non-coding RNA is filed under the name Junco hyemalis (dark-eyed junco). RNAcentral's name for it is "lncRNA (ENSJHYG00000000389.1)". Lineage: Eukaryota; Metazoa; Chordata; Aves; Passeriformes; Passerellidae. The record is from RNAcentral.
UCCCUGCAUCUCCCUCCUCUUCUGCUCGCCCCGGAACCAGCUGACUUUUAUCACAACCAGGAAACAAUCAAACAACCUCUUGAGCUGCUCCUCCUCCUGCCAGCACGGCCAUCUCCCCGAGCAGAGGAUGCUAAAUAAUAAUCUGGAAUUGGUGACAAAGCCGGGCAUUUUGUUCCUGAGGGUCGCUGGAUCUCUGCUGGGAUCAUGACCUGGUUAUUGGAGGUGAUUAAGAAAUGCAUAUUCCAAAAUGGGAUAUUGGAAUCAUCAGUGGAAUCCUUCUUCCCACCAUGGAAAAUCAAAAAAGUCUGGAAGUUUGUGCUCAAAGGUUUCAUCCAAAAUAAAACCUUUGCAAAAGGGGAAAAAAAUGAAGAUAAAAAUAGUCCCAAAGAAUCAGCACAGCAGGAAAAUUCCGAGCUGGUCAUGGAAUGAGCGUCAGCAUUCCCUGUUUGUGAGUUCCUCACUCAAAUUGGGUUAUGUUACAAUACUGGAAUGAAAUAAAGUCACUAUGAAAAGUUGC